ACGGGAGGCAGCAGUGAGGAAUAUUGGUCAAUGGAGGCAACUCUGAACCAGCCAAGUCGCGUGAAGGAAGAAGGCCCUACGGGUCGUAAACUUCUUUUGCAGGGGGAUAAAGUCGGCCACGCGUGGCCGUUUGCAGGUACCCUGUGAAUAAGCAUCGGCUAACUCCGUGCCAGCAGCCGCGGUAAUACGGAGGAUGCGAGCGUUAUCCGGAUUUAUUGGGUUUAAAGGGUGCGCAGGCGGGCUGUUAAGUCAGCGGUGAAAUCUCCGGGCUCAACUCGGAAACUGCCGUUGAUACUGGCGGUCUUGAUUCAUGUCGAGGAUGGCGGAAUGCAGCGUGUAGCGGUGAAAUGCAUAGAUAUGACGAAGAACACCGAUUGCGUAGGCAGCAGACCAGGCCGUAAAUGACGCUCAUGCACGAAAGUGCGGGGAUCGAACAGGAUUAGAUACCCUGGUA
RNAcentral lists this ribosomal RNA (454 nucleotides) under uncultured Porphyromonadaceae bacterium. Its description in RNAcentral is "partial 16S ribosomal RNA". It matches the Rfam family "Bacterial small subunit ribosomal RNA", at positions 341 to 792 of the family's 1533-position model. Lineage: Bacteria; Pseudomonadati; Bacteroidota; Bacteroidia; Bacteroidales; Porphyromonadaceae. The record is from RNAcentral.